AACUGCGAGUGAAGCGGGAAAAGCUCAAAUUUAAAAUCUGGCGGUCUCUGGCCGUCCGAGUUGUAAUUUAGAGAAGCGUCUUCCGCGCCGGACCGUGCACAAGUCUCCUGGAAUGGAGCGUCAUAGAGGGUGAGAAUCCCGUCUUUGGCACGGAUGCCUGUGCUUCUGCGAUGCGCUCUCAAAGAGUCGAGUUGUUUGGGAAUGCAGCUCAAAAUGGGUGGUGAACUCCAUCUAAAGCUAAAUAUUGGCGAGAGACCGAUAGCGAACAAGUACCGUGAGGGAAAGAUGAAAAGCACUUUGGAAAGAGAGUGAAACAGUACGUGAAAUUGUUGAAAGGGAAACGCUUGAAGUCAGUCGCGUCGACCGAGACUCAGCCUUGCCUUGGCUUGGUGUACUUCUCGGCCCGACGGGUCAGCAUCAAUUUUGCCCCUCGGAUAAUGGCAAGGGAAAGGUGGCACCUUUGCGGGUGUGUUAUAGUCUCCUGUCGCAUGCGAGGGGUGGGAUUGAGGAACUCAGCGCGCACCUUGGUGUCGGGGCUUCG
Molecule: ribosomal RNA, 541 nt
Filed under: Lactarius spadiceus
Lineage: Eukaryota; Fungi; Basidiomycota; Agaricomycetes; Russulales; Russulaceae
Description: LSU rRNA
Rfam family: Eukaryotic large subunit ribosomal RNA
Source: RNAcentral